This 407-nucleotide ribosomal RNA is filed under the name uncultured bacterium. RNAcentral describes it as "partial 16S ribosomal RNA". It matches the Rfam family "Bacterial small subunit ribosomal RNA", at positions 29 to 526 of the family's 1533-position model. The record is from RNAcentral.
AAUGAACGCUGGCGGCAGGCCUAACACAUGCAAGUCGAGCGGAGCGGCGGACGGGUGAGUAAUGCCUAGGAAUCUGCCUGGCAGUGGGGGAUAACGUCCGGAAACGGGCGCUAAUACAGCAUACUAGAAGAUGAGCCGAGGUCGGAUUAGCUAGUUGGUGGGGUAAAGGCCUACCAAGGAGACGAACCGUAACUGGUAUGAGAGGAUGUUCAGUCACACUGGAACGUGUACACGGUCCGGACUCCUACGGGAGGCGGCAGAGGGGAUUAUUGGACAAGGGGCGAAGGCCUAAUCCAGCCAUGCCGCGUGUGUGAAGAAGUUCUUCGGAUUGUAAAGCACUUUAAGUUGGAAGUCGUUACCAACCGAGUAAGCACCGGCUAACUUCGUGCCAGCAGCCGCGGUAAUAC